CUGCGGGAGAAAUGGCGGAGCGGGAGCCGCUGUGGGGGCGCCCGGGAAGGCCGUUGGGGGGCGCCCGGCGAGGCCGGCGGGGGUCGGCGUCCCGGCUCUGUACCCAGUCCGCCGGAGGCCUACUUUAAGGCUGGCCAAUUCUGCAAGAAAGGCAAGGAGGAGGAGACUGGCUCACAGCUCUGGAGGACCCCCUUCUGUCAGCUGUGGGGCUUGACACCACUUGAACAAGAAAAGGAGGGGGAAACUGCACCACAUCAGUGAAGCCGAGUGGUCCUCCAGAGCAAAGGCCAGCCUUCCUUCCAGCUGUCUGGCCAAGGAGCUUCAGGAUCUUCUAGCAAGCACCCCAGAGGCAGAAGACUGUCAUCCAUGGUACAGGACUGCGGCGAACAAGCUGACUGCGCAGUCACGUGGGGCUGACGGUGGGUCAUGUGACCAGGCUCUGCAUUAGGCCUGCCGAGAGGAGUGUUUUCUUGCAUCCAGAAAAGACCUGAGAGGCGGACGACACCUGUGCUCCGCAGAGCAGAACGUGGGAGGAACGGCGGGAUGUUAAGGUAGGAGCUCAAGAAGCAGAGAGUCUACCUGCCCGACGCGUUCGUGGAGAGGAGCAGCGGUUGCUGUUGGAGGAGGUGGGUGCAAGGACGGCAGAUGGCAUCCCUGAGAGGUGGUGACUGAGACUAGAUGCGGGUGCAGGAACUCAGAGUGGUUUUCCAGAUGGGAAUCACAUUGCUCUCUGUCCCUGAGAUCUUGCUGGAGACAGGGCUACUCAGUCCCUCUUUGCCAGGUAAUCUGUUCCAGAAGAAACAUGUGUCGUUCUGACUGAGCCCCUGCCUGUCUGUCACCUUAAGAGCCAGUCAAUUCAUAUGGUCCCCAUAUCAAAGUCUCCUGUGCCCAGAGAGAGGAUUUCAUUUCAACCAUCACCAUCACCACCAUCAUCAUCAUCACCAAGAGAUGUUGUUGAAUUGAUACUGGAAAAGCAGUUUCUAUUGAGCCCCCAAAUGAAGAGUGAGUGCAGAUGAAGAGGAGGCAGGACUCACAAGCCCUUGAACUUUAUUCCAGAUCUGUUAGCACCUACAGGACCCUGCACCAGGAUUUCAUCUGUACUAUCAGCUUCUUCAAAGAGAGAGAGGUUGUUGAGCUCAGAAGUGACAAAAGAGAAUUAUCAGGAUGGCAGUCCUUAUAACCAGAUGCUUAUCAACAUUCUUCACUACAUUCUGAAGAUGAAUUUCUACAAGGGAAAUUGUUUAUAUUUGUUGUUGGGGAUAGAUAAGGAAAGAAGAAAAAGGCUCUGGUGAGAAACCCAUUGUACCUUCUGGAUAUGAUCACUACCCAAUUUUAUCAGUGUCAUUGAUCACUAACCCAGUGCCUCGUAUGGUGCCAGGCACAGAGUUACUCCAAGAAUGUACAAUAAUGGCUGGAUUCUCUUUCUCCCUGUGCAACUCUUCAUGCAUGUGACUGAACUUAUAUUAAGUGUCUGAAGGAGGUUCGUUCUGAGGAUCUGGGACAUGAUGGGUGCUGAAGCUUCUACUCAAGAUUUGAAGGGCAGCUGUCCUCAGGAGACCCCUGGCACUUCCCUCCAUGGUGGGAUGUGAUGCCUGAUUCCAGUGAGUUCAUAGAGCUGAACAAAAGUACGUUGUGGAAUAGCUCCUGUGAGGUUCACAACAUAGUCCGGAAGAUGAGAAACUACUUUUUUUAGUAACCUGGAUUCCCAUCUAAGAGAUGCCUUACUUUAUCGUAAAGCAAUGAGUUGUUCACUUGAGGAGGGAACUUCAUGUUUAACAUGUAUUUGCAACAAAUUUACAUACAUUUUCUGCCUGUAUGAAUAGUUGUCAGUGAUGCCCAUGAAUUUCUCAGAUGGAUGUUGAAGUAUACAGUUAGAAGGUUAGAAGAUCUUCCUAGCAAUCUGUGAUUACGGGAGGCAGCAGAUGGCUGAAAUUCUGAUCCGAUGUGGCUGGUUAAUGCAUGAUCUGAAAACCCCUGCACUGGUGAUUUUGGGACAGAUCUAGAAUAUACCAAUAAAUAUAUUAACAUACCAAGUAGUCUAGGAGCAGCCACUGGGCGAACACCAAACCUUGCAUCCCUGCUGCUGUCUCUGAGCUCAGCAGACACGUCUUUGCAGAAGAGUUCUAUAAUGGUGGUACAAUGGUGCCCCCUCGUGACAGAAGCUUGAACUACAGCUUGAACAUCGAGAUGAAAAUAUACUGUCUACGUUGUUCAACACAAUAGCUAAUGGCAACUGUGGCAGUUGAACACCCGAAACGUGAUGAAUGUGACUGAGGAACUGAACUUUUAGUUUCAUUGUGACAUGAUGAAUGAAUUUAUUGAGCCCCAGGAAGAAGGAAAAUUAAAGAAGAGCAAAGAAUAAUAGCUGGACAGAAGAUGGGGGUCAUUGAACCUAUAUCCUAGUUGCCAGACCAGUAAACUGACCAUGGGACCUGGGGGAGGCAGCAGAUGACCGAAAACCUGGAGUGAUGUGGCUGAAUACCGCAUGAUCUGAAGACUGCACUGGUGGCUGCGAUAAAUGCAUGGGGGCAAGAUGGCAGAUAGGAGGCAGGACCAGCUUGCAGCUCCUGCUGAGAUGGACAGAGCAGCAUGUGGAGACUCGUACUGUAAACCUUUGCUCCAAGAAGUACUGCAGGAACAUACCAGGAAAGCUGAGAGAAUCCACAGACCCUUUGAAGAAACUGGAUCACUGUUGCAGGCCCCCUGAGAUGCCGAAAAACUGUGAGUCUGCUUGCUUUGUCAGUGGGGAAGCUGGUGGUCUGGGACAAGUUCUCAGCCCUGGUCACUGGUUGCCCUGAAAUAGACUCGGUGCUGUUGUAGGGCACAGUGGGAAUGACACCAGCCUUUAGGGCUGCAGGCUGCAUGGGAGCAGGGUGAGGCCCAUGACCGCUGACUUUCCCCCACUUGCUGGCAAACUGUAUGGUUCAGCAGAAGCAGCCAUAAUCCCCCUGGGAAUAUAACUCCAUUGGACCAGACACCACACCCCCAUCCCCCACAGCAGUCACAGCAAGCCACACCCAAGGAGAGGCUGAGCUCAGCCAUGCCUAUCCCUGCCCCUACCGGGUGGUCUUUCUCUACACACCCUGGUAGACAAAGACCAAGGUCAUAAUCUCUUGGGAGUUCUAUGGCCCUGCCCACCGCCUGAGAAAUCUGAAUACUUAACCAGCUGUCCCUAGGGAAAGUUGGCAUCCUCUCUGCAGGACCACAACUGAUGCACUCUUGAAAUCACCACCUCCUAGCUGGAGGCCAACCAACACAAAACUAGCACACUAAACCAAAAUACAACCAAGGACCCUUACAGAGUCCACUUCACUCCCCUGCUACCUCCACUGGCUGCAAAACCUGAAGAUGGAUCACAUCACAGGACUCUUUGCAGACACUCCCCAGUACCAGCCCGGAGCCCAGUAGCUCCACUGGGUGGCUAGACCCAGAAGAGCAAAAACAAUCAUGACACUUUGGCCCUCAGGAAGCCGCAUUUAUAGGGGAAGGGGGAGAACACCACAUCAAGGGAGCACCCCAUGGGACAAAAGAAUCUGAACAGCAGCUCUUGAAUUCCAGAUCUUCCCUCUGACAUAGUCUACCCAAAUGAGAAAGAGCGAGAAAAAAAUUUCUGCUAAUACGACAAAACAAGUUUCUUUAACACCCCCGAAACAUUGCACUAGCUCACCAGCAAUGGAUCCAAACUAAGAUGAAAUCUUGGAAUAGCCAGAAAAAGAAUUCAGAAGGUUGAUUAUUAAGCUAAUAAAAGAGGCAGCAGAGAAAGAUGAAGUCCAACUUAAAUAAAUCAAAAACGUGAUGCAGGAUAUGAAAGGAAAAUUAUUCAGUGAAACAGCAUAAAUUAAAAAAAAAACAAUUACAAUUUCGAGAAAUCGGGGAACAUAUAGAGAAAUGCAAAACGCACUGGAAAGUCUCAGCAAUCAAUCGAACAAGCAGAAGAAAGAACUUCAGAGCUCAAAGACAGGCUUUCAAAUUAACCCAAUCCAUCAAAGACAAAGAAAAAAGAAUUUUAGGCUGGGUGUGGUGGCUCACGCCUGUAAUCCCAGCACUUUGGGAGGCCGAGGCAGGUGGAUCACGAGGUCAGGAGAUCGAGACCAUCCUGGCAAACACGGUGAAACCCUGUCUCUACUAAAAAUACAAAAAAAAAAAAAAUUAGCCGUCAUAGUGGCAGGUGCCUGUAGUCCCAGCUACUCAGGAGGCUGAGGCAGGAGAAUGGCGUGAACCCGGGAGGUGGAGCUUGCAGUGAGCCAAGAUCGCGCUACUGCACUCUAGCCUGGGCGACAGAGCAAAACUCCGUCUCAAAAAAAAAAAAAAAAAAAAAGAAUUGUAAAAAAAAUGACUAAAGCAUCCAAGAAGUUUGAGACUAUGUUAAAUGUCGAAACCUAAGAAUAAUUAGUGUUCCUAAGGAAGAAGAGAAAUCUAAAAGUUUGGAAAACGUAUUUGAGGGAAUAAUCAAAGAAAACUUCCCUGGCCUUGCUAGAGAUCUGGAGAAAUACAAGAAGUUCAAAGAACACCUGGGAAAUUCAUUGCAAAAAAGAUCAUUGCCUAGGCACAUAGUCAUCAAGUUAUCUAAAGUCAAGACAAAGGAAAGAAUCCUAAGAGCUAUGAGGCAAAAGCAUCAGGUAAUCUAUAAAGGAAAACCUAUCAGAUUAACAGCAGAUUUUUCAGCAGAAACCCUACAAGCUAGAAUGAAUUUGGGUCCUAUUUUUAGCCUCCUUAAGCAAAACAAUUAUCAGCCACGAAUUUUGUAUCCAGAGAGAAACUAAGCUUCAUAAAUGAAGGAAAGAUACAGUCUUUCCCAGACAAACAAAUGCUGAGAGAAUUCACUACUACUAAGCCAGCAGUACAAGAACUGCUAAAAAGAGCUCUAAAUAUUAAAAUAAAUCCUUAAAAUAUACCAAAAUAGAAUCUCCCUAAAGCAUAAAUCUCACAGGACCUAUAUGACAAUAACACAGUCCAAAAUAUAUGUAUGUAUGUAUAUAUAUAUGCAGGCAACAAAUAGCACAAUGAAUAAAAUAGUACUUCAUCUCAGUACUAACAUUGAAUGUAAAUAGCCUAAAUGCUCCACUUAAAAGAUACAGAAUGGCAGAAUGGAUAAGAAUUCACCAACCUAGUUUCUGCUGUCUUCAGGAGAUUCACGUAACACAUAAGGACUCACAUAAACUUAAGGUAAAGGGAUAGAAAAAUAUAUUCCAUGCAAAUGGACACCAAAAGUGAGCAAGAGUAGCUAUUCUCACAUCAGACAAAACAAACUUUAAGGCAACAGCAGUUAAAAAAGACAGAGGGACAUUAUAUAAUGAUAAAAGGACUAGUCCAACAGGAAAAUAUCACAAUUCUGAAUAUAUAUGCACCUAACACUGGACCUUUUGAUUUAUAAAACAGUUACUACUAGACCUAAGAAAUGAAAUAAACGGCAACACAAUAAAAGUGGGAGACUUUAAUACUUCACUGACAGCACUAGACAGGUCAUCAAGACAGAAAGUCAACAAAGAAACAAUGUACUUAAACUAUACCUUAUAACAAAUGGACUUAACAGAUAUUUACAGAACAGUCUACCCAACAACUACAGAAUAUAUAUUCUAUUCAUCAGUACAUGGAACAUUCUCCGAGAUAGACCACAUGAAAGGCCACAAAACAAGUCUCAGUAAAUUUAAGAAAAUCGAAAUUAUAUCGAGUACUCUCUCAGACCACAAUGGAAUAAAAUUGGAAAUCAACUCCAAAAGGAACCUUAAAAACCAUGCAAAUACAUGGAAAUUAAAUAACUUGCUCCUGAGUGAUCGUUGUGUCAACAAUGAAAUCAAGAUGGAAAUUUAAAAAUUCUUUGAAUUGAAAGAUAAUAGUGACACAACCUAUCAAAACCUCUGAGAUACAGCAAAAGCAGUGCUAACAGGAUAGUUCAUAGCAUUGAAUGCCUACAUCAAAAAGUCUGAAAGAGCACAAAUAGACAAUCUAAGAUCAUACCUCAUGGAACUAGAGAAACAAGAACAAUCUAAACCCAAACCCAGGAGAAGAAAAGAAAUAACGAAGAUCAGAGCAGAACUAAAUGAAAUUGAAACAAACAAAAACAAUACAAAAGAUAAAUGAAACAAAAAGCUGGUUCUUUGAAAAGAUAAAUAAAACUGAUAGACCAUUAGCAAGAUUAACCAAGAAGAGAGAAGUUUCAAAUAAGCUCAAUUAGAAAUGAAAUGGGAGAUAUUACAACUGAUAUCACAGAAAUACAAAAGAUUAUUCAAGGCUACUAUGAACACGUUUAUGUGCAUAAACUAGAAAACUUACAAGAGAUGGAUAAAUUCCUGGAAAUAUACAACCCUCCUAGAUUAAACCAGGAAGAGAUUGAAAUAGUAAUACAAAGAUUGCCAAUAACUAAAAAAUAAGUUCAGAACCAGACAGAUUCACAGCUGAAUUCUAUCAGACAUUCAAAGAAUUGGUACCAAUCCUAUUGACACUAUUCCAAAAGAUAGAAAAAGAGAGAAUCCUCCCCCAAAUCAUUCUAUGAAGCCAGUUUCACCAUAAUAUCAAAACCAGGGAAGGACAUAACAAAAAAGAAAGCUACAGACCAAUAUCCCUGAUGAACAUAGAUGCAAAAAUCCUCAAGAAAAUACUAAUGAACCAAAUUCAACAACAUAUCAAAAAGAAAAUCCACCAUGAUCAAGUGGGUUUCAUGCCAUUAAUGCAGGGAUGAUUUAAUAUACACAAGUAAUAAAUGUGAUAGAGCACAUACACAGAUUUAAAACAAAAAUCACAUGAUCAUCUCAAUAGAUGCAGAAAAAAGCAUUUGACAAAAUCCAGCAUCCCUUUAUGAUUAAAACCCUCAGCAAAAUCGGCAUAAAGGGGACAUACCUUAGAGUAAUAAAAGCCAUCUACAACACAAACAAAGGGAAACGCAUCCCAUGCUCAUGGAUGGGUACAUAUGGAACCAAAAAAGAGCCCAAAUAGCCAAAGCAAGACAAAAAAAAAAAAAAAAUAGGCGCAUAGACCAAUGGAACAGAAUAGAGAACCCAAAAAUAAAGCCAAAUACAGCCAACUGAUCUUUAACAAAGCAAACAAAAACAUGAAGUGGAGAAAGGACACCCUAUUCAACAAAUGGUGCUGGGAUAAUUGGCAAGCCACAUGUAGAAGAAUGAAACUGGAUCCUCAUCUCUCACCUUAUACAAAAAUCAACUCAAGAUGGAUCAAAGACUUAAAUCUAACACCCAUAAAGAUUCUAGAAGAUAAUAUUAGAAAAACCCUUCUAGACAUUGGCUUAGGCAAAGACUUCAUGACCAAGAACCCAAAAGCAAAUGCAACAAAAACAAGAAUAAAUAGAUGGGACUUAAUUAAACUACAAAGCUUCUGCACAGCAAAAGAAAUAAUCAGCAGAGUUAACAGACAACCUACAGAGUGGGAGAAAAUCUUCACAAUCUAUACAUCUGACAAAGGACUAUUAUCCAGAAUCUACAAAUAACUCAAAUCAACAAGAAAAAACAAAACAAAACAAAAUAAAAAUAUCAAAAAGUGGGCUAAGGACAUGAAUAGACAAUUCUCAAAAGAAGAUAUACAAAUGGCCAGCAAGCAUAUGGAAAAAUGCUCAACAUCACUAGUGAUCAGGGAAAUGCAUAUCAAAACCACAAUGCAACACCAUCUUAUAACUGCAAGAAUGGCCAUAAUAAAAAAAUAAAAAAAUAAUAGAUGUUUGAGUAAGGUGGGGUGAAAAGGGAACACUUUUACACUGCUGGUGGGAGUGUAAACUAAUACAACCACUGUGGAAAACAGUGUGGCGAUUCGUUAAAGAACUAAAAGUAGAUCUCCCGUUUGAUCCAGCAAUCCCACUACUGGGUAUCUACCCAGAAGAAAAUAAGUCAUUAUACAAAAAAGAUACUUGCACACACGUUUAUAGCAGCACAAUUUGCAAUUGCAAAAAUAUGGAACCAACCCAAAUGCCCAUCAAUCAAUGAGUGGAUAAAGAAAAUGUGAGAUAUAUAUAUAUAUAUUAUAUAUAUAUAUAUGAAUACUACUAAGCCAUAAAAAAAAGAAAUAAUGGCAUUCGCAGCAACCUGGAUGGAAUUGGAGAUUAUUAUUCUAAGUGAAGUAACUCAGGAAUGGAAAACCAAACAGUGUAUGUUCUCACUCAUGUGGGAGCUAAGCUAUGAGGACGCAAAGGCAUAAGAAUGAUACAUUGGUCUUUGGGGACUCAGGGGAAACAGUGGGGAGUGUUGAGGGAUAAAAGACUAUACAUUGGGUACAGUGUACACUGCUUGGGUGAAGGGUGUGCCGAAAUCUCAGAAAUCACCGCUGAAUAACUUAUUGAUGUAAACAAACACCACCUGUUCCCCAAAAACCUAUUUAGAUAAAAAAAAAUUAAAAAAAGUAAAAGUAUUUUGAUUUCAUCAUCUUGAUAUAAAAUUUUUAAGUGUCUGGGGCUUAAAGAUACUCUUUCAAAAACUUAUAAAGAAAUUAUUACUGAAAUAUUUGUACAUAUGAGCAAGAGUGUUAUAUAUACCAUUGUCUGUAAUAGAAACUAUGGUAAGGGAACUAAAUUUUCACCACUAGGUUACUGUGGAAAUAAACUUUAGGAUAUCAUAUAAAUGAAACACUGGGUCCAUAAAAAAUAUUGAUAUUAUGUUGUAAUUUCAAAUGUUAUCAUAGAAAUGUAUUUCCAUGAAAAGAUAGUAAUAAAGAUGUAAAGAGGGUUACAAAGAUAACAAGUAGCCUGGAUCCCUUUUUUCUUAUAUAGGUCUCUAUUUAUCC
RNAcentral lists this long non-coding RNA (8724 nucleotides) under Homo sapiens (human). RNAcentral describes it as "non-protein coding LINC00630:47". The record is from RNAcentral. Lineage: Eukaryota; Metazoa; Chordata; Mammalia; Primates; Hominidae.